CUGUGUUCCUUUAGCAAAUAUGUUCCUUCUACAUUAUAAUGUCAAAUUGUAGAACAUUUAUUCAUACACACACACACACACACACACAAUGGACCAAGGUGUGUACAAUAUAUACGCCUAACAUCACCACAGUCUGUUUCUUCCAUUGCCAAUGAGAGCAAUUCAGUUGUUAGGCUGCCAAGCCAUCAAGCUAUGUAAAGCUGCUAUCUCUCUGCAGCUUUUCCGAAGUAACUUUGGGAGCAUUCUAACCUCAAAGUAGAUGAAUGGAGAGGUUAAAAUAAUGAUGAAUAGUAAGGAAUGAGUUCUUAUUAAAACCUGUGACAAUACGCCAAGAUCUUGAUGGCAUCAGCUUGUCUUAAUAGAUUAAGCAAACUGAAAGGCAGGAUUUCUUAAAAUAACUUUUUGCUGUACAAUGAAGUUUCUCUUCUAUUUAUUAUUUAAACAGGAGAUGGCAAAAAGCAACAACAACACAAAUCAUAAACAGAUAGCUUCUGCACAAUAGGCAAUAAAACACUGCACUUUUUAUGUAUAGAAUUUGUUAUUUGUUACUCUUCAGAUUCCACUGCUUAUCUGCUAAAUCCCAUCAAUCAGUGAUUAUGAAGGAAUGUGAUUGCUGUUUUGCACAGCAGGACCUGUGCAUCAAGAUGUUUUCCUUUUUCUCCUCUGAACAUCCCGUGGCUACAAUUUUGAACGCUAUCCCUGUGUGGGCUUGCUGUGGACACCAGCAAUACAACAGAUCUGUUGGUGUUUGCACCAGUGUUGAGUGGUUGGGCCCUUCAUCCAAGGCUCCUAUUUUAUGCAGUGGCUAUGGAUAAAAUAGGCUGUAUUUGUGGGAAUAUGGUAGCGCUCAAGUGCAAAACUGAUAGUGACAUCUGUUUUGUCUUGCCGUGGAUGCUAUUUGUUUAGAAUGGUUGCCUAUAAAAUGUCUCUCUGUGUGUAUGUAUGUAUGUAUGUAUGUAUGUAUGAUGUGCUUACUUUUUAAAGAAAGGAAAUAAUUUAAAAUUGUUUAUUGUUUACAUCUUUGGGUGUUAUUUUGGGCUGGAUUGUUUCUAUAUGCAUAUGCUGCAGUUGACUCCAAGGGAUCCUCACACAACAGGGUUGAUGUUGCCAGCCUUCAUGCAACGUUUGCAGACAUCUUUGUAACACAGACGUGGUCUGCCAAUGGGCCUGGGGCUUGAAGCCAGCUCCCUGUAGAGCACAUCCUUGGGGAUCCUGCAAUCUUCUGUUGUAUGUACACGACCAAACCUGCAUAGACGUUGCCCAGAGAAGAAUGGGAAGAUGCUGGAAAUGUGGACUUGGGAGAGGACAUCUUUGUUUGAGACUCUGUCCUGUCAUGUGAUGCCCAAAAUCUUCCUGAUACAGUGCAUCCUAGUGGGUGUCAGUUGCCUAUGACUCACUUCCAUAAAGCAGUGUGCUCAGCAUGAAAGCCUGGUAGAACUUUACCUUGGUAUUGGACUUCAGCAUCAUAUUCUCCCAUACCCUUUUGGAGAGGUGAGCCAUUGCUGUAGCUGCCUUGCCAAUACGCUUGUCCAGCUCAGCAUUGAUGGAAAGGUUGCUGGUUAUGGUGGAGCCCAGGUAGACAAAAUUGUGUACCACUUCAAGAGUGUGGUCACCAGUGCUGAUGUGUUGGUGAUGCUCUGACCCAGGAUGUUGGUCUGCAUCAGGCUGUUGGGGCCGGACUCCAUGCAGGCUUGGGCAAAACAGUUGAUGAAUCUCUGUAGAGCUUCCUCAGAGUGUACUGCCAAGGCUGUAUCAUGUGCAAACAACAUCUCUCAGAUCAGAACCCACUACCCCUUUGUCUUGGCAUGGAGGUGUCUAUGACAAACAGUUCUUUUAAUAUGUUGUAUCCUCCCCCCCCCCCCGUGGCACUUGUCGUUCUCUAAUCUCCUGUUGAGAUAUCAAAAGCUGAUAAAUGAUGCUUUAUGUUAGAAAGUUUUUAUCCUUACAACAGCAAAGGAUCUUUUGGUUUUAAAAAAAGGAAAAGUAAGAAAAGAGCACCAUUCCUUUAUAACAUUGAGGCUACUAAUCUAAGGAUGAUGAGUCAUCUGGCCAGUAAAGGUUAAUAUUUGAAGCACAUGGUCAAGAAAACACAGCACUAGAAAUUGCUUCCUAGGGGAGGUUUAGAAGUGGGGACUUUUGAAUUUUAUAGUCCAACAAAAAUAUAAUAGUAUAGGUUUUGAUGAACGGAAAUAACAGAUGAAAUAACAUAAAGGUGCAAUAUAGCAAAAGCAAUGCACUGAAAGCAAUGGAAUGGGAUUUAGUCAGAAGUAAUUUCUGUCCCACUCAUUUUGGUGUGAGAAUCAUGACUAUAUUUCAAGGGACUGUGCCCAGAUCAUUGAAACAACUGGGGCAAUGCAUUAGUGAGGGUAAAGUGUGCUUAAAAAUGCAUAUAUUGGUGAAGAUAACAUACAUAAAUGCAUUAAUCAUGGGAAAAGGCCUUGCAAAAAUGUAUGUAUAUUGGGGAAAAUUUACAUACAAAAAUGUGUAUAUUUGAAGAAAUGCUCAUGAGGACUAUAAAAAAUCACUGUUCGUGUUCGUUUUGUGUGAGAACAGCAUUUAAGACUGGAAAAAGGAGAAUCUGAGAGACACAGAAAAUGAUAGUUUUGCCUAUACCCAGUUACUGAGCAGUAUCCAUGGGGGUGGCUGAAGUCAAAUAUGUGGAUAUAUUUUAACAGACCCUGCAAAGUGUAGCUCAAAAUCCUGAACAAUGGCAGGGAUCACUUAUUUUGCCUUUCCCAUGGCAUAUUCCUUAAACAAACGUAAACAUAGCCUGAAGUGUUAUUUAAGUCCUAUUAACAAUUCUUAAACUCCCCAGCAGGUGGAGGUACAGAUUGCUGCCUCAGUUCAUCUUCAAAGAUUACUGAACAAUCCAAGCAGGCCUGGUUCAUUUAGGCACCAUACUGAUAUGUUUGCUCACUUAUAACCUCAAAUCUGGCAACUGCAGAAGGUGUAACUACUACUUCAUGAACAGCAUGAAGACUUUAUGUUUGCACCACCAAAAUUAACCGUUAAGGAAAGUGAGUACCUACCAAACACAUUCUAAAACCAUCCAGGAAAUCGAGGAAUUUCCCCACACAAAAACCAACAUAACAGAUCCAGAAAGAGAAGCAGCCUUGCAUGCACACAGACAGCAGAGGUGACUGCAAGGGAGCACAAGAAGGGCUUACUAGAAGAUUCAAGGCUGUUACUCCCAUUUCAUAUGUUCCUUGUGCUUAUGAGUAUCCCAAACUCUCUGUCUUGGCUCCCAUCCAGACCACGCCGAAAGAGUUUCUUACUUGAAAGUUGCUAUUGCUCAUAGCUGCUGUGCUGAGACCAGAUGACAGGAGGAGUGAUGCUAACCAGGCUAAAAGCAGUAGCCCAAGUUUAAGGAGUUCAAGAUCAGGGCAAGGAGAAAAGAACUGCAAGGAAACAAUGGAGUUGUCCCAACAAGUUGGCACAAUAACCCAUCAAGCUUUUAAAGACAGGGCAAGGCUAGCUUACUUGCAAGAGAGCCAGCAUGGUGUAGUGGUUAAGAGUGGUUGACUCAUAAUCUGGUGAACUGGGUUCGCUUCCCCGCUCCUCCACAUGCAGCUGCUGGGUGACCUUGGGCCAGUCACACUUCUCUGAAGUCUCUCAGCCCCACUCACCUCACAGAGUGUUUGUUGUGGGGGAGGAAGGGAAAGGAGAAUGUUAGCCGCUUUGAGACUCCUUAGGGUAGUGAUAAAGCGGGAUAUCAAAUCCAAACUCCUCCUCCUCCUCGUGCCUUAUGAGACUGUUGAGUGUGCAGGUUCUUGUGGCACUUCAAGAGUGUGGUCACCAGUGCUGAUGUGUUGAAGACGCCUCUGCUGCCAGUGAUAGGCACGGCACUGUGUCCCAUUUUUACUCUAGUUCCUCCACCCCUAGCAGUUGGCUGAUACCCUUCCCAUAUCUCAUUACUCUGCUCCUUUCACUGGAAGACAAGAGGGGAGAUGAGAGUCCGGCUUCACCAGCUGGGGCAGCUAUAUCCUGGGAAGGGGAAUUACCCACUGUUCCCUGAUUUCAGCCACUCCCAAUCUGUGGGAUAACCAACCUCAUAUCACCAACAUGCUUAAGUCUAAUUAACACAUGAAGAAGUCAUGGAAUUGUAGAGUUGGAAGGGACCUCAAGGGUCAUCUAGUCCAAUCCUUUCAAUGCAGGAAUCUCAACUAAAGCAUUCAUGACAGAUGGCCAUCCAACCUCUGCUUAAAAAUCUCCAAGGAAGGAGAGUCCACCACAUUCUGAGAGAGUCCAUUCCAUUGUUGAACAGCUCUCACUGCCAGAUUUCUUCCUGAUGUUUCGUCGGAAUCUCUUUUCUUGUAACUUGCAGCCAUUGGUUUGGAGCCUUUCCUCCAGAGCAAGAGAAAACAAGCUUGCUCCAUCUUCCCCAAGACAGUUGUUUAGAUAUUUGAAGCCAAGUUUAACUGCCUGUGCAACUUUUUCUGAAUGCUGUAUGGAAAAGCACAUGAAUCUGACCUUUGGAGAGUUUGUAAGUAAACCAUUCUAACUUACCAGACAUAUGGUCUUUAUCUAUACUAAGGGAAGCGGAAAGUUUUGAAACCCACAAGGGCACAUUUGAAACAUCUAACAACCUAUAUUUCCACACUUUACUUUGCUGCAUGUUUUGUGAUUUAAAAUUUCUGCUAGGGUUAUUUCACCGAAGCUCGGAAAUUGGAACUCUGCAUACAGGGAAUUCUCUUUUCUAUAUGCCCUUUCCCCCUUGAACCAACACUACCAUCUUCUACCCCCCACCCCUUGUUUGUCUCAGCCAGCCACUCAAAUCCUAAGCCUGGUGACACUUCAUGACACUCUAAGGAAACCUACAGAAUGCUUGAUUUGCAGUCCUAACUUUGUUGUAUCUCUCACACCUGUGUAUUAAUUGUAACAUUAAUAUCAGAGAAAAGGAAUCUAUUUUAUUUUAUCAUUUGUGACCCACUUUGGGGGAGAUACAGUGCUUUUCCCCCAGGGGUACUUAAGGGUACACAGUACUGGCAACCCCCCCCCCCAAUUAAAAAAAGUGUGGCAUUUACUGUAACAAUUUCCUGGUGAUCACCAGCACCAAUUUUCCUUAAAAAAGAAAAAAAAGGCACUGGGGGGAGAUAUCAUUUAGGACAAAAGCUGGCAUGGGAAAGCAUUAUAAUAUAUUAUAGCUUGCAUUGGAUGUUCAUUCGUACCUGCUUCCUUGUACUCCUGAUUCCCAGGGCUGUCUGAGGCAAAGGACAAGACACCAGUUCCAUAUAUAGAAGCCAAUUAGACCACAGGGCAGUAUUCUUUAUGAUACCUGAGGCCAGCAGGCUCGCUUAGGAGGUGCAGGGCAGCCAUCUGGCACAGACUCCUCUAUCACCCAACAUCUCACCACCACUUCCUGCCCACCAGCAUCUGCCACCUGAGGCAGCUGCCUUACUCUGUCUAAUGGUAGGGCCAGACCUGCUGAGUCACACUGUAAUUGUUGGAUUGAUGUAGAAGGGAAAGCAUAUUCUCAUUCAAGUCGCUGUGCUAAUUAGG
RNAcentral lists this long non-coding RNA (5499 nucleotides) under Podarcis muralis (Common wall lizard). RNAcentral describes it as "lncRNA (ENSPMRG00000006028.1)". The record is from RNAcentral. Lineage: Eukaryota; Metazoa; Chordata; Lepidosauria; Squamata; Lacertidae.